ACAGUGGACGCGAGCAUCUGUGGCCAAGUUUUUAAGGGCGCACGGUGGAUGCCUUGGCACCAGGAACCGAUGAAGGACGUGGGAGGCCACGAUAGUCCCCGGGGAGCUGUCAACCAAGCUUUGAUCCGGGGGUUUCCGAAUGGGGAAACCCGGCAGUCGUCAUGGGCUGUCACCCGCUGCUGAACACAUAGGCAGUGUGGAGGGAACGAGGGGAAGUGAAACAUCUCAGUACCCUCAGGAAGAGAAAACAACCGUGAUUCCGGGAGUAGUGGCGAGCGAAACUGGAUGAGGCCAAACCGUAUGCGUGUGAUACCCGGCAGGGGUUGCGUAUGCGGGGUUGUGGGAGUUCUCUUUUACAGUCUGCCGGCUGUGAGGCGAGUCAGAAACCGUUGAUGUAGGCGAAGGACAUGCGAAAGGUCCGGCGUAGAGGGUAAGACCCCCGUAGCUGAAACAUUGACGGCUCGUUUGAGAAUCACCCAAGUAGCACGGGGCCCGAGAAAUCCCGUGUGAAUCUGGCGGGACCACCCGCUAAGCCUAAAUAUUCCCUGGUGACCGAUAGCGGAUAGUACCGUGAGGGAAUGGUGAAAAGUACCGCGGGAGCGGAGUGAAAUAGUACCUGAAACCGUGUGCCUACAAGCCGUGGGAGCGUCGCGCAUCGAGCUUGCUCGGUGCGUCGUGACUGCGUGCCUUUUGAAGAAUGAGCCUGCGAGUUAGCGGUGUGUAGCGAGGUUAACCCGUGUGGGGAAGCCGUAGCGAAAGCGAGUCCGAACAGGGCGAAUUAGUUGCACGCUCUAGACCCGAAGCGGAGUGAUCUAGCCAUGGGCAGGUUGAAGCGGAGGUAAGACUUCGUGGAGGACCGAACCCACCAGGGUUGAAAACCUGGGGGAUGACCUGUGGUUAGGGGUGAAAGGCCAAUCAAACUCCGUGAUAGCUGGUUCUCCCCGAAAUGCAUUUAGGUGCAGCGUCGUGUGUUUCUUGCCGGAGGUAGAGCACUGGAUAGGCGAUGGGCCCUACCGGGUUACUGACCUUAGCCAAACUCCGAAUGCCGGUAAGUGAGAGCGCGGCAGUGAGACUGUGGGGGAUAAGCUCCAUGGUCGAGAGGGAAACAGCCCAGAGCAUCGACUAAGGCCCCUAAGCGUACGCUAAGUGGGAAAGGAUGUGGAGUCGCAGAGACAACCAGGAGGUUGGCUUAGAAGCAGCCACCCUUGAAAGAGUGCGUAAUAGCUCACUGGUCAAGUGAUUCCGCGCCGACAAUGUAGCGGGGCUCAAGCGUACCGCCGAAGUCGUGUCAAUCCAGCAUGAAGGGCUAACGCCUGUUGGGUUGGGUAGGGGAGCGUCGUGUGCCGGGUGAAGCAGCCGUGGAAGCGAGUUGUGGACGGUUCACGAGUGAGAAUGCAGGCAUGAGUAGCGAUACACACGUGAGAAACGUGUGCGCCGAUUGACUAAGGGUUCCUGGGUCAAGCUGAUCUGCCCAGGGUAAGUCGGGACCUAAGGCGAGGCCGACAGGCGUAGUCGAUGGACAACCGGUUGAUAUUCCGGUACCCGCUUUGAAACGCCCAGUACUGAAUCAGGCGAUGCUAAGUCCGUGAAGCCGGCCGAUCUCUUCGGAGUUGAGGGUAGUGGUGGAGCCGAUGAACCAGACUUGUAGUAGGUAAGCGAUGGGGUGACGCAGGAAGGUAGUCCAGCCCGGGCGGUGGUUGUCCCGGGGUAAGGGUG
Molecule: ribosomal RNA, 1716 nt
Filed under: Streptomyces sp. SID4944
Lineage: Bacteria; Bacillati; Actinomycetota; Actinomycetes; Kitasatosporales; Streptomycetaceae
Description: partial 23S ribosomal RNA
Rfam family: Bacterial large subunit ribosomal RNA
Source: RNAcentral